Molecule: small RNA, 116 nt
Filed under: Enterobacteriaceae bacterium RIT693
Lineage: Bacteria; Pseudomonadati; Pseudomonadota; Gammaproteobacteria; Enterobacterales; Enterobacteriaceae
Description: RtT sRNA
Rfam family: RtT RNA
About the family: This family represents a bacterial cis-regulatory element known as RtT RNA.
Source: RNAcentral
CUAUCUGCAAGAUAGGGCAGGAUUCGAGCCUGCAGCAGGUUCGAGUUGAGCGAAAGCGAAACAACGUUGUGAUAACAACGGCCCAGAGGGUGAUAAUAAUCCUGCACGACCCACCA